Molecule: long non-coding RNA, 215 nt
Filed under: Lathyrus oleraceus (garden pea)
Lineage: Eukaryota; Viridiplantae; Streptophyta; Magnoliopsida; Fabales; Fabaceae
Description: Pisum sativum (pea) long non-coding RNA (PSAT_LNC021475)
Source: RNAcentral
UACUUCGACUCUGAUGUCUAUGCCUGAUAGACUAAGUAGGCCCAGGAUGCGAUAUCCUGCCGAGUCAGUCUCUUUUGUUUUCUUGUGUCUCUUUCAGCCAGUGUGUGUGUGUGUGUGAGCAGUGUUUUUAGCAACCAUUCUCCUUUCUAUUGUGUGUGGAUCCCGUCGAGUACGACGGAUGCGUAGGGGUGCUAAUACCUUCCCUUCGCAUAACC